This is a long non-coding RNA of Diachasma alloeum, 2324 nucleotides long. RefSeq lists it as uncharacterized. The transcript is spliced from 4 exons. Lineage: Eukaryota; Metazoa; Arthropoda; Insecta; Hymenoptera; Braconidae. The record is from RefSeq and is a predicted model, not a curated record.
AUACAAAAAAUUCAUAACUAGAACUUGGACGAUUCCAAUGCAUUCAUUCGUAAACAAAAAUCAUGAGAAUAUCAUGUGCCCACUUAAUGACCACGAAAUCCUGGAUAAAUAUCAAAAUGGUAUAAUGAUAGUACUCACCUGAUUAACACCGAUAGCUAUUCACGAGGGCACUUGCGAGGGCACUGUGGCACUUCACUUCACUGAAAUGUUACACCACGGAUGUCCGGAUGGGCACGAGUUCAGAAUUCCUCUGGCAUUUGCCAGUCAAUCGAUUUUCUUUUUCGCGGAAUUUAAGAAUGUCCUCAUCGUUUGUUUUUGAUCGACUAUAAUAUAAUCCCCCACCAGUCUCACCUAUAUCCAGGCAUUGAGACAUCGUGAGAAGGUAGUCACGUCGAAACAAGAACAGACAAUUCACGACAAGUCGGUUCGCUGGAUUUUUGAGUGCGAUCAUUAGUGGUUACAGAAAGAACGAUGAUUAAUUAUUAAAAAAAUAUUGUAUUCGAGUGUUUAAGUGCUGGUGAUACAAACGUGUAAGUGCUUUUUAUUUUUCAAUUUUUUUUCUAUGAAAUUAAGUGAUUUAUUUCCAAUUUUUCAUCUUCUCUGCCAUGAAUUUGAAUACUCACCUUCCGCCAUUUUUUUUCUUCACUUUGUAGCAUCCCUUAUUUUGAGUGUAAAAUCAUUAGUAUGAGAACAAAAAACAAAAGAAACGUAGCGAAUUUGCUAGAAAAUCAUAUUGACAUUCUACAGGCAUUCUACAUGAUUUCUAUUGGAAUUUUACUAAAAAAUCUUAUUCUUUCCGUUGCACCGAUUCUAUUGGAUAUCAGCAAGAAAAAAGUCAAUAAAUUUUGAAUUUCUGUUCGAGUUUCUCUCUUGAGAUUUUUUCCAUUCAAAUUAUUGAGCACCGCUUUUCUCAGCUUUUCUUCCACUCGGAUUCCAUAAUGCAAAACUAAACAAAUUGAAGGGAAGGUUUUUUUUCGCCCUUGUGGUCAUGAGGAAAAAAAACUUCUCUUCAUUUAAAAAUUUACGGUCGAAUAAUCUCUGCAUAAUAUUAAACUAAUCAAAAUACAGCCAAAGACGAUUAGAAAAUUUGUGAACAAUAAUUUCAAUAUAAAAAAUUCCAAAUCUAUUGACUUUUGUAUUUCAAAUAUCUAAUAGAAUCGGUGCAAACACAAAUACAAUUUUUAAAUAGAAUUCUAAUAGACAUCUCAAAGGAAUUCCAUUCAAUUCCUAUAGAAUUCCCAUAGAAUUUUCCAGUGAAUUUGCUAGACUUUUUACUGAUUUUCUUUAUAGUGUAUUCAUUCUAUAAUCUCGCAAUUUAUUUUUUUUCAUUUCCAAGGGAGAAUUUUAUUAACUCAUUCUUCUAGUACCCAAUACGUAGCUUAUUCCAAUGAUUCUUCAUAAUGCAAUUUAAAUUUCUCACAACCAUCAAUUAUCGAACGAUUUGUUAUUAUCUGUCUUUCUUUCAUGGUAACUCAUGGAGGAGAUUUUUAUGAAUGAAAUUUCUUCUUUUUUUUGUUCAUUUAAGCUUCAAACCUAUCGGUUAUACAGCUAAUCAUGGUCAAUUUUUCUUUACAGUACUCUAACCGGCUAUAUCGAUCACAUCCAAGGGCGUAAAUGGUUUAGGAGCGAGAAAAAAACAGCCCUUAUCUUUCGAAUUGACGAUACAAAGGGGAUGAAAAUUGAGGUGUACGUUUGGGAAAAGCAGAUAAUGUUGUGGGAGUCUCAUAUUACGCUAUACAAGAAUGUAACGAUUACACGAGGUUCAAUCAAAGUGACUCCCAUUACAAAUGGUGGUGGCGAGUCAACACUCGCGUUCCACCUUGAAUCAUUUUCAGAAAUCCAUUCCCAGGGGACCUAAAAUCCCCAAAUUCGUGACUCCAUAGUUUAUUCAGAAGAGACACUAAGUAGCCUGCCAAGCGUCAAGGGACCUUUUGUACUUGAGUCGUGGACUAAAGAUGCUUUUGUCAUCCACGCUAUUGGGAGGAGCUCUUACCUGAAUGGCUCGGUAUCAGACGGUAUCUGGAAACUGACGGUGUACGUCAAUGCAUGUGCAGACAGACUACCCGAUGGUCUAACCAGAGGUAGUCGUAUGAGACUUUGGGGUACCUUGGAGGCGAAUGGAAUCGGAGGGUGUUAUCUAAAAGUCGUAGAUGAAUAUCAUGUGCGACCUCUACCUGAGUUCCCCAGACUGUCGGCGGAAGACUUAGAGGAUGCAGUCGUUUCAGUUAAUCGUCUUUUCAGUUAAUCGCCUCCAUUUACAAAUAGGGAAAUGUCAUUGUUUUUGUAUUCACUUCUGUGGAAAAUAAAAUGUAUUUCCUCAAAUU